This 207-nucleotide ribosomal RNA is filed under the name uncultured Syntrophobacteraceae bacterium. Its description in RNAcentral is "partial 16S ribosomal RNA". It matches the Rfam family "Bacterial small subunit ribosomal RNA", at positions 568 to 774 of the family's 1533-position model. The record is from RNAcentral. RNAcentral also lists the same sequence under 1 other name. Lineage: Bacteria; Pseudomonadati; Thermodesulfobacteriota; Syntrophobacteria; Syntrophobacterales; Syntrophobacteraceae.
CACGUAGGCGGGAACUUAAGUCAGGUGUGAAAGACCGGGGCUCAACUCCGGGGUUGCACUUGAAACUGAGUUUCUUGAGGGCAGGAGAGGAAAGCAGAAUUCCUGGUGUAGCGGUGAAAUGCGUAGAAAUCAGGAGGAAUACCAGUGGCGAAGGCGGCUUUCUGGACUGACCCUGACGCUGAGGUGCGAAAGCGUGGGUAGCAAACA